AUGGCCCCGCUCGCUUAGCAAACUGAACUUAUGUCUUUAGUAGCCAUUCAUGUGGGGCAAAGGAAGUGCUCUGUCCAAACUCAAGAAAACUAUGUGUUUAGAACCUGUCAUAGGGAGUAACA
Molecule: small nucleolar RNA, 122 nt
Filed under: Sorex araneus (European shrew)
Lineage: Eukaryota; Metazoa; Chordata; Mammalia; Eulipotyphla; Soricidae
Description: Small nucleolar RNA SNORA27 (ENSSARG00000016276.1)
Rfam family: Small nucleolar RNA SNORA27
About the family: ACA27 is a member of the H/ACA class of snoRNA that guide the sites of modification of uridines to pseudouridines.
Source: RNAcentral